GUGCUCACUUCGGCAGCACAGAUACCAAAAUUGGAACGACACAGAGACAAUGAGCAUGGCCCCUACUCAAGGAUGACAUGCAAAUUCAUGAAGCGUUCCAUAUUUUU
Molecule: small nuclear RNA, 107 nt
Organism: Callorhinus ursinus (northern fur seal)
Lineage: Eukaryota; Metazoa; Chordata; Mammalia; Carnivora; Otariidae
Source: RefSeq, a predicted model, not a curated record